Molecule: ribosomal RNA, 449 nt
Filed under: uncultured bacterium
Lineage: Bacteria
Description: partial 16S ribosomal RNA
Rfam family: Bacterial small subunit ribosomal RNA
Source: RNAcentral
AGCCAGACUCCUACGGGAGGCAGCAGUGGGGAAUAUUGGGUAAUGGGCGCAAGCCUGACCCAGCAACGCCGCGUGAAGGAAGAAGGCCCCCGGGUUGUAAACUUCUUUUAUCAGGGACGAAACAAAUGACGGUACCUGAUGAAUAAGCCACGGCUAACUACGUGCCAGCAGCCGCGGUAAUACGUAGGUGGCAAGCGUUAUCCGGAUUUACUGGGUGUAAAGGGCGUGUAGGCGGGUCUGCAAGUCAGAUGUGAAAACCAUGGGCUCAACCUGUGGCCUGCAUUUGAAACUGUAGUUCUUGAGUACUGGAGAGGCAGACGGAAUUCCUAGUGUAGCGGUGAAAUGCGUAGAUAUUAGGAGGAACACCAGUGGCGAAGGCGGCCUGCUGGACGGAGACUGACGCUGAGGCUCGAAAGCGUGGGGAGCAAACAGGAUUAGAUACCCCAGUA